This 254-nucleotide ribosomal RNA is filed under the name uncultured bacterium. Its description in RNAcentral is "partial 16S ribosomal RNA". It matches the Rfam family "Bacterial small subunit ribosomal RNA", at positions 524 to 776 of the family's 1533-position model. The record is from RNAcentral.
UACGGAGGGUGCAAGCGUUGCUCGGAAUUAUUGGGCGUAAAGGGCAGGUAGGUGGUCUUAUUUGUCUGAUGUGAAAGCCUUGGGCUUAACCUAAGAAGUGCGUCAGAAACGGUAAGACUUAGAGUCCUAGAGAGGGUUGUGGAAUUCCCGGUGUAGCGGUGGAAUGCGUAGAGAUCGGGAAGAACAUCAGUGGCGAAGGCGGCCUGCUGGGCUGUUGCUGACGCUGAGGCGCGACAGCGUGGGGAGCAAACAGG